Camellia sinensis is the source of this 118-nucleotide small nucleolar RNA. RefSeq annotates it as small nucleolar RNA Z278. The record is from RefSeq and is a predicted model, not a curated record. NCBI's taxonomy places the organism in Eukaryota, Viridiplantae, Streptophyta, Magnoliopsida, Ericales, Theaceae.
GCCAGUGAUGAUAUAAUCCACUUGUUUGAGGUGUAGUGGAGCCAAGCCCCUGUCUUGACAGGGAGAACCUACUUGGUGAAGCUACAUUUCAUAUGACUUUACUGGAUUUCACUGAGGC